AUAGCAGCAAAAAAAAAAGGAAGCAGCAGGAUUAAACACUUCAUGAUAAGCCGAGCUGAGUUUUUUAAAAAAAGAUCAUAAAUACACCAAAAACUAUUGGGUUACUUCCCAAUUCAGUAGUUCUAUAUUUUGCCUGUAUUUUUUUCUGUUACAACGCAGGGAAUACUGCCUCGGAUCAAUAAAGCAGUUCCCACAACUGACACCGCUGAUGAUGGUGGUGAUGAUGAUGAUGAUGAUGGUGAUGAUGGACAGCCAUCAUCACAGUGCAAACCGGGCUUUUUGCAGAUUUCGACUUAAAGGACCUCUCAUCUGUUGUUGGGAGCGUGAAUGUUUCCGGGAGAACUAACAGCGUAUGAACAGGGGGGAGAGUUUGCCUGACUCCAAUACAAGAAAAAGAUCCAAGAGAACCAGUUGCAGGUGCGGUGGGGGGACCUGGCAGGGCCCGACCGACAGAGAAGCACAAGAAACUAUAAUGUUAGGGAUUCCGGUGAAUCCAAACGUACAAUGCAAUGGAAACCAAGCCGCGCGUAUUGGCUCAGACCACAGUUGUAUCAAGGUACGGUGUUUACAUCCAACACAUCAGAGGUGAGGCACAAGCCCGGAGAGGGGCCCUCACAUCAGACCCACGGCGGCGCGCCGUCCCUGCUGGAGAACAAAAACGGGAUUACAGUGAUGCACCGACCGCUGGCUUCAUUCUGAAAGUGUUCACUUUAUUUUUCUUGGUUUACACAUCCCGACAAUUGUUUGGAAGUGGAUGUAAGGUUGAUUCUUGAUGAAAUAAAGUUAUGACACACAUGUAACAGGUAUAGUGACAUUAAAAUAGUACAUCACCAUGGCUGUUUAAAAAAAAAAAA
Long non-coding RNA from Xiphias gladius (swordfish), 854 nucleotides. RefSeq lists it as uncharacterized. The record is from RefSeq and is a predicted model, not a curated record. The transcript has 2 exons. Lineage: Eukaryota; Metazoa; Chordata; Actinopteri; Istiophoriformes; Xiphiidae.